RNAcentral lists this ribosomal RNA (468 nucleotides) under uncultured bacterium. RNAcentral's name for it is "partial 16S ribosomal RNA". It matches the Rfam family "Bacterial small subunit ribosomal RNA", at positions 28 to 507 of the family's 1533-position model. The record is from RNAcentral.
GACGAACGCUGGCGGCGUGCUUAACACAUGCAAGUCGAACGGAAAGGCCCUGCUUUUGUGGGGUGCUCGAGUGGCGAACGGGUGAGUAACACGUGAGUAACCUGCCCUUGACUUUGGGAUAACUUCAGGAAACUGGGGCUAAUACCGGCUAGGAGCUCCUGCUGCAUGGUGGUGGUUGGACAGUUUCGGCGGUGGGGGAUGGACUCGCGGCUUAUCAGCUUGUUGGUGGGGUAGUGGCUUACCAAGGCUUUGACGGGUAGCCGGCCUGAGAGGGUGACCGGCGACAUGGGUACUGAGAUACGGCGCAGACUCCUACGGGAGGCAGCAGUGGGGAAUAUUGCACAAUGGGCGGAAGCCUGAUGCAGCAACGCCGCGUGCGGGAUGAAGGCCUUCGGGUUGUAAACCGCUGUCGGCUGUGACGAAGCGUGAGUGACGGUAAUGGGUAAAGAAGCACCGGCUAACUACGUG